Molecule: ribosomal RNA, 433 nt
Filed under: uncultured bacterium
Lineage: Bacteria
Description: partial 16S ribosomal RNA
Rfam family: Bacterial small subunit ribosomal RNA
Source: RNAcentral
AACGAACGCUGGCGGCAUGCCUAACACAUGCCAGUCGAACGAUGCCUUCGGGCAUAGUGGCGCGCGGGUGCGUAACGCGUGGGAAUCUGCCUUUCGGUUCGGAAUAACUCAGGGAAACUUGAGCUAAUACCGGAUAACGUCGCAAGACCAAAGAUUUAUCACCGAAAGAUGAGCCCGCGUAGGAUUAGCUAGUUGGUGAGGUAAAGGCUCACCAAGGCGACGAUCCUUAGCUGGUCUGAGAGGAUGAUCAGCCACACUGGGACUGAGACACGGCCCAGACUCCUACGGGAGGCAGCAGUGGGGAAUAUUGGACAAUGGGCGAAAGCCUGAUCCAGCAAUGCCGCGUGAGUGAUGAAGGCCUUAGGGUUGUAAAGCUCUUUUACCCGGGAAGAUAAUGACGGUACCGGGAGAAUAAGCCCCGGCUAACUCCGUG